RNAcentral lists this unclassified non-coding RNA (403 nucleotides) under soil metagenome. RNAcentral describes it as "partial contains 5.8S ribosomal RNA, internal transcribed spacer 2, and large subunit ribosomal RNA". The stretch from base 1 to 121 matches the Rfam family "5.8S ribosomal RNA", at positions 35 to 154 of the family's 154-position model. The record is from RNAcentral.
GAUGAAGAACGCAGCGAAAUGCGAUAAGUAAUGUGAAUUGCAGAAUUCAGUGAAUCAUCGAAUCUUUGAACGCACCUUGCGCCCUUUGGCUAUUCCGAAGGGCAUGCCUGUUUGAGUAUCAUGAACACCUCAACUCUCAUGGCUUGCCAUGAUGAGCUUGGACUUUUGGGGGUCUUGCUGGCCUUUGGUCAGCUCCUCUCAAAUGAAUUAGCCUGCCAGUGUUUGGUGGCAUCACAGGUGUGAUAACUAUCUACGCUUGUGGUUUUCCACCAGGUAACCUUCAGUGAUGAAGGUUCGCUGGGGCUCAUAAACGUCUCUCCUCAGUGAGGACAGCUCUUUGAACGUUUGAUCUCAAAUCAGGUAGGACUACCCGCUGAACUUAAGCAUAUCAAUAAGCGGAGGA